CCCUUAAAAAGGGUGAAUAGGUCUAGGGUUCGAAACACAAAUCAUCGGUCCAGCAUCCAUUGCCCAAAAAAAUAGUUCCCGAGAAGUAGAAAGCAUAAAUGCAAGAAAAAUAAAUGGAUCAACCAAACGAGGACCAAGAGGAACCUCCAAUUGUGAAGCUAUUGGGCGUGAAUAAGAAUAAGAAUAAGAAUAAAACAGGGGUUUAUCCGCCAAGGAUGAGAAUGACAACUGGAGUAAAAGUGAAGAAGAAUAAGGGUGGUCUCGUUGCAGUGGACUCCGCAGCACAGUAUCCUACGGGCUCUGCGGAGGAUUGCUGCAAUGCCCCUAAUGUUACAGUUUUGAAGUUCGAUAAUUCGGCGGAGAAUCACUUCAGGGCCAUUGACAUGAUUUCUUAGCUCUGUGGAGAGCCUGAAGACGGUGCUCUUGAAAAACAAGAAAUUCAGCAACUGUCCUCCUCAAUCACUUUCGUAAGAGAAUGGAAGUAUUUUAAUUACGAACCAAAAAUCGUCAGGUUCGCUUCUAUAGUAGGAAACAUUGAAGGGAAAGAUGUUGUUAGCGGAAUAGAGUCGCCUCAACUAUAUUCUGCAGCUGUUCCUAAGGAGUUGUUAAUAAUAUUGAACAUUGGCAAUUCAUAUGAUCUUUCAACUUGCAUACUUUGUAGAAUGAGGAACCUUCUGGGGGUGCUGCUACACAUGCGAAAUCAACCGGGUACUUUCAUGGGACUUGGCUUGGGACAAUAUCGAUUUUACAAUUA
Juglans microcarpa x Juglans regia is the source of this 754-nucleotide long non-coding RNA. RefSeq lists it as uncharacterized. The record is from RefSeq and is a predicted model, not a curated record. The transcript is spliced from 3 exons. NCBI's taxonomy places the organism in Eukaryota, Viridiplantae, Streptophyta, Magnoliopsida, Fagales, Juglandaceae.